GUAGGGUGCGAGCGUUAAUCGGAAUUACUGGGCGUAAAGCGUGCGUAGGUGGUUCGUUGUGUCUGUGGUGAAAGCCCCGGGCUUAACCUGGGAAUGGCCAUGGAAACUGGCGAGCUGGAGUCUGGCAGAGGGGGGUGGAAUUCCGCGUGUAGCAGUGAAAUGCGUAGAGAUGCGGAGGAACACCGAUGGCGAAGGCAGCCCCCUGGGCUAAGACUGACGCUGAGGCACGAAAGCGUGGGGAGCAAACAGGAUUAGAUACCCUGGUAGUCCACGCCCUAAACGAUGUCAACUGGGUGUUCGGGAAGCGAUUCCUGGGUACCGUAGCUAACGCGUGAAGUUGACCGCCUGGGGAGUACGGCCGCAAGGUUA
This 369-nucleotide ribosomal RNA is filed under the name uncultured bacterium. Its description in RNAcentral is "bacterial SSU rRNA". It matches the Rfam family "Bacterial small subunit ribosomal RNA", at positions 527 to 896 of the family's 1533-position model. The record is from RNAcentral.